CUUUGUCCAUGGCUCGAUGACAAAGCAGCCUGUGUCUGUGAUCUUAUCCAGGUAAAAAUCCAGACACAGGAGAGUGUGCCUAUAACUUCAGCUCUCAGAGAUGGAGGCCCGCAGAUCCUGGGGGCUCCCUGGACUGAUCUUGCUGAAAGGGAAGUACCUGGGUGAGCAAGAGAUUCCAUCUUGAAAAUAAGCACUCCAUAUCCUUUCUGGAUGAUAUCUCAUG
Mus musculus (house mouse) is the source of this 223-nucleotide long non-coding RNA. RefSeq annotates it as predicted gene, 42017. The transcript is spliced from 3 exons. Lineage: Eukaryota; Metazoa; Chordata; Mammalia; Rodentia; Muridae. The record is from RefSeq and is a predicted model, not a curated record.